Long non-coding RNA from Arabidopsis thaliana (thale cress), 252 nucleotides. RefSeq annotates it as other RNA. The record is from RefSeq. Lineage: Eukaryota; Viridiplantae; Streptophyta; Magnoliopsida; Brassicales; Brassicaceae. The transcript has a single exon.
GUUGCUAAUGACAAAGUUUGACCGUUCGAGCUCGUCGAGCCCUUCGGUUACGUCUUCCAAGACUUUGUCUAGUUGCAUGGCAUUUUCCGACAUUCCUAAAAAGUAAAAACUCAAACACUUUGAAAAACUCCCCAACGGCCGAUGCUUGUCUUAUCACUUUCGAGCCAAUAUUUGACCAUUCUUUGUUUUGUUUUGCUUAGUUUACAAGAUUGAUUGAACACAGUAUACAAAUGAUAAUAGCGUAGAAGUAAC